GGGGAAUAUUGGACAAUGGGGGCAACCCUGAUCCAGCCAUGCCGCGUGAGUGAUGAAGGCCUUCGGGUUGUAAAGCUCUUUUGGCGGGGACGAUGAUGACGGUACCCGCAGAAUAAGCCCCGGCUAACUUCGUGCCAGCAGCCGCGGUAAGACGAAGGGGGCAAGCGUUGUUCGGAAUUACUGGGCGUAAAGGGCGCGUAGGCGGUUUGCUUAGUCAGGCGUGAAAGCCCUGGGCUUAACCUGGGAUGUGCGCUUGAUACUGGCAGGCUUGAGUGUGGGAGAGGUUGGUGGAAUUCCCAGUGUAGAGGUGAAAUGCGUAGAUAUCAGGAGGAACACCUGCGGUGUAGACAGCUUUCUGGACCAAAACUGACGCUGAGGCACGAAAGCGUGGGUAGCAAACA
RNAcentral lists this ribosomal RNA (401 nucleotides) under uncultured bacterium. RNAcentral's name for it is "bacterial SSU rRNA". It matches the Rfam family "Bacterial small subunit ribosomal RNA", at positions 356 to 774 of the family's 1533-position model. The record is from RNAcentral.